GCCUGGAGACUGCCGGCGAAGGAGACGAGGAAGCGGCGGCGAGGAACGGUCCCGCAGAGCGAGUAAACUCUGGACCGCGCACCGGCCGAACCCGCCCCUUUUCCACCAGAAGGGGCGUGGUCUCGGGGUUCCAGCAGCCUUGAAUUCUUCAGGAAACUCUGUUCCAAUUAAAUAGGCCAGGCAUCUGUCAAUGACUACUCAUGGAGCCCAAAGAAAUGAAAAUGUAAGGACUGCAGCAAAUGGGGGCCCCUGAGGAAGAGUGCUUUUCUUCAGCAGGCUCCCAGCUAGCAAGCACACAUCUUCCUGAGGAGUAUCUCCACCCUCCCUCUCUUAUUCUGCUCUUCCCUACAUAUUUGACGGAGAAGAAGUGGAUAUUGACUGAGGUGGCAGGUCUGUAUUCCCAUUUGGAGAAGAAGAGAGGGACAUCUCCAGGAAAAGGAGGAUUCAAAUUCAUUUGCAAGAAAGGAGUAAAAAAAAAAAAAAAAGAAAGCACAGGAAGAGUAGACAGCCUUGCCUGCUAAACCACCAGAUGAGAUCUUCCUCAGUAAUUACCUGUCGGCAACAUCUACUAUGAUCCUAGCAUUUGAAAGGACAUAUUGAGGUUGAAGGCUAUCAGCUUUAGUCGACACAUGCAAACAGGUGGGAGGAGAUUGCAGUGCAAGUGCUCAGCACAAGUGAGGACACCUAGGCCGGGCCAGACGUCGAGGCCAGAGUGUACUCUGUCUGAGGAAUCCCUACCUGGACGUGCCUAUAGGGCAAAAGUAGUGCCGAAGAGCUCUUCUUACUGAUCCACAGGCAUGCAGAUUAUACAUGGAAACCUCCUGAUGAAUGAGAAAAGCAGCCAGGACCCAGACUGUCCUACUCUAUAGAUACAGAGAUGAUUCUUCAAAGGAUGUACAGCCAAUUAGAGGAGACAGAAUGGCCUGCUCCUUCAAUCCUGGAUACCGGAAUAAAGAAGACAUCUGGAGCAGAUGCUGAGACAAUUCCUGGCUGACUUGUAACAUAAGCAAGAAAUAAAUCUUUGCUGUAAGCAAAAUUUGGGAGUUGUUUUUUACUGCAUUAUAACCUAAUGAAAGCUGACUGAUACAGAGUGGUAACUUGAAUAGCCACAUUUGUAGCGGGAAAAUUUUAAGUAAGAAAAAAAGUGGUGAAACACAAAUUCC
Molecule: long non-coding RNA, 1163 nt
Organism: Manis pentadactyla (Chinese pangolin)
Lineage: Eukaryota; Metazoa; Chordata; Mammalia; Pholidota; Manidae
Exons: 8
Source: RefSeq, a predicted model, not a curated record